AGCAGCCGCGGUAAUUCCAGCUCCAAUAGCGUAUAUUAAAGUUGCUGCAGUUAAAAAGCUCGUAGUUGAAUUUCGGGACUAAUAUGUCGGUCGUGCCUCGGUACGUACUGGCUUAUUGGUUUCUCCUUUCUGAAGAACCAUGAUGUCAUUAAUUUGGUGUUAUGGGAAAUCAGGACUGUUACUUUGAAAAAAUUAGAGUGUUUAAAGCAGGCAUUAGCUUGAAUACAUUAGCAUGGAAUAAUGAAAUAGGACGUUCGAACCUAUUUUGUUGGUUUUUAGGAUCAACGUAAUGAUUAAUAGGGAUAGUUGGGGGCAUUAGUACUCAAUUGUCAGAGGUGAAAUUCUUGGAUUUAUUGAAGACUAACUACUGCGAAAGCAUUUGCCAAGGAUGUUUUCAUUAAUCAAGAACGAAAGUUAGGGGAUCGAAGACGAUCAGAUACCGUCGUAGUC
Molecule: ribosomal RNA, 450 nt
Filed under: uncultured Glomeromycotina
Lineage: Eukaryota; Fungi; Glomeromycota
Description: SSU rRNA
Rfam family: Eukaryotic small subunit ribosomal RNA
Source: RNAcentral